GGUUUCUGCUUUCCUUUUUGAAUAUUGACUAUGAUAGUGAAUAUCCUUGAAUCCAAACUACACAGUUAUGAGGAGGUAUCCCUAUGUCACAAGUUUUCACAGUAAAAAGUGAGCGCACAGAAAACACUUGGAGGAAGAGCUGCUACUGUGGAGUCUCGUGAAUCUUGGUGAACAUGUCUUAGAAGAUGAAAACUCUGCAAUUCUUGUCUGCUUGUCUUUGUCUCGAGGAUCAUCAGAUGUGUUGUAUCUAAAAGGACCCGGAGGUGGAGAUCCGUUUUUCUUCUGUACUACCAAUAUCUCCUGUAAAUGAUAGUUAUAAAGAAGCUUCCAACAUGAUGCGAUCUGAGUAUGAAUUGUUUUAUCAUAUGACCGCCCACCCUUCCCCAGAGUGAUGCUAUUUAAAAGC
Molecule: long non-coding RNA, 406 nt
Organism: Mus musculus (house mouse)
Lineage: Eukaryota; Metazoa; Chordata; Mammalia; Rodentia; Muridae
Product: predicted gene, 29836
Exons: 3
Source: RefSeq, a predicted model, not a curated record